Molecule: unclassified non-coding RNA, 324 nt
Filed under: Hevea brasiliensis (rubber tree)
Lineage: Eukaryota; Viridiplantae; Streptophyta; Magnoliopsida; Malpighiales; Euphorbiaceae
Source: RNAcentral
GGAAGGCGAUGCCGCGCGCGAUGCCGGUGACAUCCUCCGCCUUCGACAGUUCGAACAUCGGCCCGAGAAUUUUUUCGAUAUGCGUCUUCAGCCACAGAUCGAGCCGCGUCUGCACGGCCUCGCGUGACGGGCCAGUCAGCCGUUCGUCCGCAAUGAUGCGGAUACGCGGAUGCAACGCAUCGUCGGCCGCGACGAGCUUGGCGACGGCGUCGCCGGUCCAGCGCAGCGUUCCAUCGGACGCCAGUACGAACUGUUCGUCCGGUGCCUUUGAAAGCUUUUCGGCGCGCGCAUCGAUUUCACCGGCCAGCGCCUUGAGCGCCGCGG